CCUACGGGAGGCAGCAGUGAGGAAUAUUGGACAAUGGGCGCAAGCCUGAUCCAGCCAUGCCGCGUGCAGGAAGAAGCAUCUAUGGUGUGUAAACUGCUUUUGUACAGGAAGAAACACUCCCUCGUGAGGGAGCUUGACGGUACUGUAAGAAUAAGGACCGGCUAACUCCGUGCCAGCAGCCGCGGUAAUACGGAGGGUCCGAGCGUUAUCCGGAAUCAUUGGGUUUAAAGGGUCCGUAGGCGGUUUAAUAAGUCAGUGGUGAAAUCUGGUCGCUCAACGAUCAAACGGCCAUUGAUACUGUUAGACUUGAAUUAUAAGGAAGUAACUAGAAUAUGUAGUGUAGCGGUGAAAUGCUUAGAUAUUACAUGGAAUACCAAUUGCGAAGGCAGGUUACUACUUAUGGAUUGACGCUGAUGGACGAAAGCGUGGGGAGCGAACAGGAUUAGAUACCCUGGUAGUCCACGCCGUAAACGAUGGAUACUAGCUGUUCGGAGCAAUCUGAGUGGCUAAGCGAAAGUGAUAAGUAUCCACCUGGGGAGUACGUUCGCAAGAAUGAAACUCAAAUGAAUUGACCGGNUAGAGACGAGCGAGACGACGACGAGGGAGGAGG
This 610-nucleotide ribosomal RNA is filed under the name uncultured bacterium. Its description in RNAcentral is "bacterial SSU rRNA". It matches the Rfam family "Bacterial small subunit ribosomal RNA", at positions 338 to 951 of the family's 1533-position model. The record is from RNAcentral.